Molecule: ribosomal RNA, 752 nt
Filed under: uncultured bacterium
Lineage: Bacteria
Description: bacterial SSU rRNA
Rfam family: Bacterial small subunit ribosomal RNA
Source: RNAcentral
AGAGUUUGAUCAUGGCUCAGAUUGAACGCCGGCGGCAUGCUUUACACAUGCAAGUCGAACGGUAACAGGCCGCAAGGUGCUGACGAGUGGCGAACGGGUGAGUAAUGCAUCGGAACGUGCCCAGUCGUGGGGGAUAACGCAGCGAAAGCUGCGCUAAUACCGCAUACGAUCUAUGGAUGAAAGCGGGGGACCGUAAGGCCUCGCGCGAUUGGAGCGGCCGAUGUCAGAUUAGGUAGUUGGUGGGGUAAAGGCUCACCAAGCCAACGAUCUGUAGCUGGUCUGAGAGGACGACCAGCCACACUGGGACUGAGACACGGCCCAGACUCCUACGGGAGGCAGCAGUGGGGAAUUUUGGACAAUGGGCGCAAGCCUGAUCCAGCAAUGCCGCGUGCAGGAAGAAGGCCUUCGGGUUGUAAACUGCUUUUGUACGGAACGAAACGGCUCUGGUUAAUACCUGGGGCUAAUGACGGUACCGUAAGAAUAAGCACCGGCUAACUACGUGCCAGCAGCCGCGGUAAUACGUAGGGUGCAAGCGUUAAUCGGAAUUACUGGGCGUAAAGCGUGCGCAGGCGGUUUUGUAAGACAGGCGUGAAAUCCCCGGGCUCAACCUGGGAAUGGCGCUUGUGACUGCAAAGCUGGAGUGCGGCAGAGGGGGAUGGAAUUCCGCGUGUAGCAGUGAAAUGCGUAGAUAUGCGGAGGAACACCGAUGGCGAAGGCAAUCCCCUGGGCCUGCACUGACGCUCAUGCACGAA